This 73-nucleotide transfer RNA is filed under the name Castanea mollissima (Chinese chestnut). It matches the Rfam family "tRNA". From Rfam's summary of the family: Transfer RNA (tRNA) molecules are approximately 80 nucleotides in length. Their secondary structure includes four short double-helical elements and three loops (D, anti-codon, and T loops). Further hydrogen bonds mediate the characteristic L-shaped molecular structure. tRNAs have two regions of fundamental functional importance: the anti-codon, which is responsible for specific mRNA codon recognition, and the 3' end, to which the tRNAs corresponding amino acid is attached (by aminoacyl-tRNA synthetases). tRNAs cope with the degeneracy of the genetic code in two manners: having more than one tRNA (with a specific anti-codon) for a particular amino acid; and 'wobble' base-pairing, i.e. permitting non-standard base-pairing at the 3rd anti-codon position. RNAcentral also lists the same sequence under 2 other names. Lineage: Eukaryota; Viridiplantae; Streptophyta; Magnoliopsida; Fagales; Fagaceae. The record is from Rfam by way of RNAcentral.
GCUAGGAUAGCUCAGUCGGUAGAGCAAAGGAUUGAAAAUCCUUGGGUCACCAGUUCAAGUCUGGUUCUUGGCA